This 436-nucleotide ribosomal RNA is filed under the name soil bacterium 3V-05. Its description in RNAcentral is "bacterial SSU rRNA". It matches the Rfam family "Bacterial small subunit ribosomal RNA", at positions 24 to 458 of the family's 1533-position model. The record is from RNAcentral.
UCAGGACGAACGCUGGCGGCGUGCUUAACACAUGCAAGUCGAACGAUGAACCUGGAGCUUGCUCCGGGGGAUUAGUGGCGAACGGGUGAGUAACACGUGAGUAACCUGCCCUUGACUCUGGGAUAACCUCCGGAAACGGAAGCUAAUACCGGAUACGACGUACGGAGGCAUCUCCUGUACGUGGAAAGAACUUCGGUCAAGGAUGGACUCGCGGCCUAUCAGGUAGUUGGUGAGGUAACGGCCCACCAAGCCUACGACGGGUAGCCGGCCUGAGAGGGUGACCGGCCACACUGGGACUGAGACACGGCCCAGACUCCUACGGGAGGCAGCAGUGGGGAAUAUUGCACAAUGGGCGAAAGCCUGAUGCAGCAACGCCGCGUGAGGGAUGACGGCCUUCGGGUUGUAAACCUCUUUUAGUAGGGAAGAAGCGAAAGUG